This 271-nucleotide unclassified non-coding RNA is filed under the name Psilocybe sp. RNAcentral describes it as "partial internal transcribed spacer region". The stretch from base 1 to 46 matches the Rfam family "Eukaryotic small subunit ribosomal RNA", at positions 1786 to 1831 of the family's 1831-position model. The record is from RNAcentral. Lineage: Eukaryota; Fungi; Basidiomycota; Agaricomycetes; Agaricales; Agrocybaceae. RNAcentral also lists the same sequence under 1 other name.
AAGUCGUAACAAGGUUUCCGUAGGUGAACCUGCGGAAGGAUCAUUAUUGAAUAAACCUGAUGUGGUUGUUGCUGGCUCUCUCGGGAGUAUGUGCACGCCCAUCAUCUUUAUAUUUCCACCUGUGCACCUUUUGUAGACCCGUGCGAUUUGAGCAAUCAAGUCAAGUAGGCCUACGUUUUAUCAUAUACCCCAUAGUAUGUAUCAGAAUGUAUCAGUGGGCUUUGUGCCUAUAAACACUAUACAACUUUCAGCAACGGAUCUCUUGGCUCUC